This 267-nucleotide unclassified non-coding RNA is filed under the name Glomeraceae sp. RNAcentral's name for it is "partial contains 5.8S ribosomal RNA and internal transcribed spacer 2". The stretch from base 1 to 71 matches the Rfam family "5.8S ribosomal RNA", at positions 84 to 154 of the family's 154-position model. The record is from RNAcentral. Lineage: Eukaryota; Fungi; Glomeromycota; Glomeromycetes; Glomerales; Glomeraceae.
GUGAAUCAUCAAAUCUUUGAACGCACAUUGCGCUUCCUGGUAUUCCGGGGAGUAUGCCUGUUUGAGGGUCAGUUUAAAUAAUAAAUCGGUUUAGUUACAGAUUGUGACGUUUCCGGAGUUUGGGCUAACUUAGCAGUUUUGGUUAAGAGGCUUGAAAUUGCCCUUUUUUACGCAGUUUUAAACGCACAUAAAUUUUUUUUAUUAGUCUGUUCUUAAUGCCAACGUCUUAUUAGAUGCGAUCACAUGGUGUCGCUACGUGCCGAUAAA